GCCAGAAGGGAACCACUGGUCAGUAGAACACUUGACAAAGAAGCUGAAUAAAUUCCAUCAUGCAUGGGUGCCAUACAUGUCCAAGCACUUGUUGAUGGACAUCAAGGCGGGUUCCUUUUCCUUGCGGCAGAGCAGAAAUAAACACAAUGUGUUGAAAAAUGCCUCAUUGGAUGUAAAACAUAUGCUUAAAAAUGAAACGGAGUCAGAUAUCACUGCUGAUCUCAGAAAGAAGCUCCAUCGGGCUAAGAAGAAAUGACAACUAAGUACAAUCCAGAGGGACCUUGUGAUUUUUCUAAACCAAAUGCUCACGGCCAUUAUCCUCUGACAGAUGUCAUGCUAGAGCUCUUAAGAGCAAAUGCUUCUUCUUGAGCCUUGGAGAUCUCACCAUUAGUUUCAAUAAUAAAGGAACUUCUGGGUUUUCCUCA
Molecule: long non-coding RNA, 425 nt
Organism: Mastomys coucha (southern multimammate mouse)
Lineage: Eukaryota; Metazoa; Chordata; Mammalia; Rodentia; Muridae
Exons: 4
Source: RefSeq, a predicted model, not a curated record